RNAcentral lists this ribosomal RNA (279 nucleotides) under uncultured bacterium. RNAcentral describes it as "partial 16S ribosomal RNA". It matches the Rfam family "Bacterial small subunit ribosomal RNA", at positions 524 to 802 of the family's 1533-position model. The record is from RNAcentral.
UACGUAGGGGGCUAGCGUUGUCCGGAAUCAUUGGGCGUAAAGCGCGCGUAGGCGGCCAGAUAAGUCCGGUGUGAAAGUCACAGGCUCAACCUGUGAAUGCCGCUGGAAACUGUCUGGCUUGAGUCCGGAAGGGGCGAGUGGAAUUCCUGGUGUAGCGGUGAAAUGCGCAGAUAUCAGGAGGAACACCAAUGGCGAAGGCAGCUCGCUGGAACGGUACUGACGCUGAGGCGCGAAAGCGGUGGGAGAACGGGAUUAGAACCUCCGAGUCAGUCCAAGCCA